RNAcentral lists this ribosomal RNA (602 nucleotides) under Staphylococcus aureus. RNAcentral's name for it is "bacterial SSU rRNA". It matches the Rfam family "Bacterial small subunit ribosomal RNA", at positions 940 to 1533 of the family's 1533-position model. The record is from RNAcentral. Lineage: Bacteria; Bacillati; Bacillota; Bacilli; Caryophanales; Staphylococcaceae.
UGUGGUUAUAAUCGUACUAACACGAGGAACCGUGACACAUCUUGAGGUGACUAGAAAGAACUGGAGUUCGCGCAUUCACCCUUGGUGGRCAAAGUGACAGGUGGUGCAUGGUUGUCGUCAGCUCGUGUCGUGAGAUGUUGGGUUAAGUCCCGCAACGAGCGCAACCCUUAAGCUUAGUUGCCAUCAUUAAGUUGGGCACUCUAAGUUGACUGCCGGUGACAAACCGGAGGAAGGUGGGGAUGACGUCAAAUCAUCAUGCCCCUUAUGAUUUGGGCUACACACGUGCUACAAUGGACAAUACAAAGGGCAGCGAAACCGCGAGGUCAAGCAAAUCCCAUAAAGUUGUUCUCAGUUCGGAUUGUAGUCUGCAACUCGACUACAUGAAGCUGGAAUCGCUAGUAAUCGUAGAUCAGCAUGCUACGGUGAAUACGUUCCCGGGUCUUGUACACACCGCCCGUCACACCACGAGAGUUUGCAACACCCGAAGCCGGUGGAGUAACCUUUUAGGAGCUAGCCGUCGAAGGUGGGACAAAUGAUUGGGGUGAAGUCGUAACAAGGUAGCCGUAUCGGAAGGUGCGGCUGGAUCACCUCCUUUCUAAGGA